CGGGUGAGUAAUGUCUGGGAAACUGCCUGAUGGAGGGGGAUAACUACUGGAAACGGUAGCUAAUACCGCAUAACGUCGCAAGACCAAAGAGGGGGACCUUCGGGCCUCUUGCCAUCAGAUGUGCCCAGAUGGGAUUAGCUAGUAGGUGGGGUAACGGCUCACCUAGGCGACGAUCCCUAGCUGGUCUGAGAGGAUGACCAGCCACACUGGAACUGAGACACGGUCCAGACUCCUACGGGAGGCAGCAGUGGGGAAUAUUGCACAAUGGGCGCAAGCCUGAUGCAGCCAUGCCGCGUGUAUGAAGAAGGCCUUCGGGUUGUAAAGUACUUUCAGCGGGGAGGAAGGUGUUGUGGUUAAUAACCACAGCAAUUGACGUUACCCGCAGAAGAAGCACCGGCUAACUCCGUGCCA
This 411-nucleotide ribosomal RNA is filed under the name Enterobacter ludwigii. Its description in RNAcentral is "bacterial SSU rRNA". It matches the Rfam family "Bacterial small subunit ribosomal RNA", at positions 103 to 510 of the family's 1533-position model. The record is from RNAcentral. Lineage: Bacteria; Pseudomonadati; Pseudomonadota; Gammaproteobacteria; Enterobacterales; Enterobacteriaceae.